RNAcentral lists this long non-coding RNA (1083 nucleotides) under Mustela putorius furo (domestic ferret). RNAcentral's name for it is "lncRNA (ENSMPUG00000029316.1)". Lineage: Eukaryota; Metazoa; Chordata; Mammalia; Carnivora; Mustelidae. The record is from RNAcentral.
CUGGAUAGAAGGACCAAUGUCUGUAUGAGAGGAGAGAUAUUUGGACACAGAUGCACACAGAAGAAAGAUAGGCAUGAAAGGAGACAGAGAUUAGGGCUGGGCUUCUAUAAACCCUGAAGCACCAAGGAUUGCCUAGUGACCACACGGCAGAGGAAGAAAAGCGGGAUUCUACCUCAGAGACUCAGAGGGGGGUGCCUGCCCCAGCCAACUCCUGGAUUUUAGACUUCUGGCUUCCAGAAAUGCAAAAGGAUAAAUUUCUGUUGCUUAAAGAUAGCUCGUUUGUGGUAACUUGUCAAAAAUGGCUUUAGGAAAGUAAUACAAGGAGAAAAAAAUGAAAUUGUAUUUUAUUUUCUUUCCUUUUCAUAGAUUUCAAGACAAGAAACACUUCUAAGGCACAUCAGGUCCUUCUGGAUCUCCACACAUGAGAAGAAUCACUGAUAAUAAGAAGGGUACAGAUAUACAAAAACAAAACAAACAAACAUUUUAAAACAACAACAACUUGACCCUGAGGUUAUAAGAAUGGAUCUUUGAAGUUGUUUCUUAGAUUUAUUGUAAUUCCUUCUAUUUGGUGGCACUUUCUACUAAUUUGGUCCUUGAGGCACCCUUUGGUGAAGAUAAAGCAGAUAAUAAAAUUCUCAAGUGGCAAAUGAAGAAACAGGUUUAGAGAGAUUAAAUGACUCAUCCAAGUUGUUCAACAAAUCAAUAUAAACACUGGAACUUGAACCUAGAUCUUCUCACUCAGUGCUUUAUUUUUAUGAUUCUGCCAUGAACCUCACAAAUGGAUUUUCAUCAUCUUUUGCUGCUGGUUCCAGUCAGAACAAGAAAACAAAGAACAGAGAUUUAAUUUGGUGUUAAGAAGCACAGAAGAUGUUUGGUACGGAAUUACAGAGAUGGUCAAGGCUCUUGUCCUGUAUGAUGCCAUCUACAACCCAAAGAGAGAGGACUCUGAAGAAACCAACCUCACCACCAACUUGAUUUCCAACUUCCACCCUCCAGGACCGUGAGAAAACAAUUUUCUGUUGUUUAAGCCACCCAGUUUGUGAUAUUUUGUUUGGCAGCCCUAAGAAACUAAAACAACACCAA